Chinchilla lanigera (long-tailed chinchilla) is the source of this 680-nucleotide long non-coding RNA. RefSeq lists it as uncharacterized. The transcript is spliced from 2 exons. The record is from RefSeq and is a predicted model, not a curated record. Lineage: Eukaryota; Metazoa; Chordata; Mammalia; Rodentia; Chinchillidae.
CACAGUCCAGCACUGGCUUGGGUCCAACAAGUGAGCACACCAGCCGCUCAGCCCGGGGAGUACUUGUAGUUGACAGCAGGAAGGAAACAGUAGGAGGGAGGAGUGGACAUCAGUGUUGGGCUAGGCUGUCCGGGAAGGUGACACCGUCAACAGAAGCAGAGAACUGAAGGUCACCGUGACCCACCAGACUGAGCGCGCUAGAGAAGCCUCAUCCCUGAGGGCGGCCUGCAGACCCUCAGAAACAAGUCCGGAGCCAGGGAGAAAUUUUCUGGCCAAGCCAGUCCACUUGGGAGUCAUUCCACUGAGCCUGGAGGAAGCGAGUGACAAGCCAGGGUCACUGGCUGGUAACGUGAAGCCCUCGGGGAACGGGACGGCUUGGAUGAGAUCAGAAAAGCAAAGGUGCGCCUGGCAGGAUGUACCGUGCUCCCAGAGCGUGAGGCCAGGCUCUGCUCCCCAGGAAAGGAGCCUGAGCUGGAACCUGAAACAGAGCAGGCUGCCUGCCGUGGGCUCCACUGCCACAGACGGAAUCGUACAACACCCAGUGCUUAGCAAGCCCCAGCCCGCUGUAAUUAACUGCUAAUUGGAAUUAAACUCUAAAAUCCAAUCUGUCUCUCACAAACUCUUUAAAUGAUUGGGACUGAAGAGUCCCUCGGGGAAAAAUAAAAGCACAAUUAUCUUUU